This 778-nucleotide ribosomal RNA is filed under the name uncultured Neocallimastigales. RNAcentral's name for it is "partial large subunit ribosomal RNA". It matches the Rfam family "Eukaryotic large subunit ribosomal RNA", at positions 22 to 642 of the family's 3401-position model. Lineage: Eukaryota; Fungi; Neocallimastigomycota; Neocallimastigomycetes; Neocallimastigales. The record is from RNAcentral.
CAUAGCGACUAUCGUGGCAUAUCAAUAAGCGGAGGAAAAGAAACUAACAAGGAUUCCCUUAGUAACGGCGAGUGAAGCGGGAAGAGCUCAAAUUUGAAAUCUUCAAGGUUCUACCUUGACGAAUUGUAGUUUAUAGAAGUGUUUUCUGUUAGUGGAGUGGCAAAAGUUCUUUGGAAUAGGACAUCAUAGAGGGUGAGAAUCCCGUCUUUGGUCAUUCCUCCUAGCGUUGUGAUACACUUUCAACGAGUCGGAUUGUUUGGGAAUGCAGUCCAAAAUGGGUGGUAAAUUUCAUCUAAAGCUAAAUAUUGGCGAGAGACCGAUAGCGAACAAGUACCGUGAGGGAAAGAUGAAAAGAACAUUGAAAAGAGAGUUAAACAGUACGUGAAAUUGUCAAAAGGGAAGCGUUUGACACCAGUGUUGUUUUCUCGAAAAUCAAUUAUAAAUGCCGGAUGUUAAGUUGUAUUGACUUUAUCAGGCUUUCUGCUACGUUUUUCUAUGUCUUUGUGAAUGCACUUUUCGGUUAACAAGUCAACAUCAAUUUCUUUUGUUGUAAAAGAGUCAUUGGAAGGUGGCCUUCAUUUCGUGAAAGAGUGUUUAUAGCCUUUGACUUCUGCAAUCGGAGAGAUUGAGGUCUGCAGCGUAGAUCCUUCGGGGUUAGAUACAUUUGUGCUAAGUUAUAGUUCUUUCAUAGACAACUUGUUGACUAUAAUUAAUCAUGUAACUUACUCGCUUAUGCUAUUUUACCUACGCUUAGGAUGUUGAUAGUCACAGCGUGUAC